RNAcentral lists this ribosomal RNA (645 nucleotides) under Melinesthes algoensis. RNAcentral describes it as "LSU rRNA". It matches the Rfam family "Eukaryotic large subunit ribosomal RNA", at positions 663 to 1265 of the family's 3401-position model. The record is from RNAcentral. Lineage: Eukaryota; Metazoa; Arthropoda; Insecta; Coleoptera; Scarabaeidae.
GGACCAAGGAGUCUAGCAUGUGCGCGAGUCAUUGGGACUCUAACGAAACCUAAAGGCGUAAUGAAAGUGAAGGCCCGCCUAGCGCGGGCCGAGGGAGGAUGGGUGUCCCCGAGGGGACGCCUCGCACUCCCAGGGCGUCUCGUUCUCAUCGCGAGAAGAGGCGCACCAAGAGCGUACACGCUGGGACCCGAAAGAUGGUGAACUAUGCCUGGUCAGGACGAAGUCAGGGGAAACCCUGAUGGAGGUCCGUAGCGAUUCUGACGUGCAAAUCGAUCGUCGGAACUGGGUAUAGGGGCGAAAGACUAAUCGAACCAUCUAGUAGCUGGUUCCCUCCGAAGUUUCCCUCAGGAUAGCUGGCGCUCGCUUCUCGCGAGUCUCAUUCGGUAAAGCGAAUGAUUAGAGGCAUUGGGGUCGAAACGGCCUCAACCUAUUCUCAAACUUUAAAUGGGUGAGAUCUCCGGCUUGCUUGAACUGUGAAGCCGCGAGAUAUCGGAUCAGAGUGCCAAGUGGGCCACUUUUGGUAAGCAGAACUGGCGCUGUGGGAUGAACCAAACGCUGAGUUAAAGCGCCUAAAUCGACGCUUAUGGGAUACCAUGAAAGGCGUUGGUAACUUAAGACAGCAGGACGGUGGCCAUGGAAGUCGGA